RNAcentral lists this ribosomal RNA (496 nucleotides) under uncultured bacterium. Its description in RNAcentral is "partial 16S ribosomal RNA". It matches the Rfam family "Bacterial small subunit ribosomal RNA", at positions 29 to 507 of the family's 1533-position model. The record is from RNAcentral.
AUGAACGCUGGCGGCGUGCCUAAUACAUGCAAGUCGAGCGCACGGACGAGAAGCUUGCUUCUCUGAUGUUAGCGGCGGACGGGUGAGUAACACGUGGAUAACCUACCUAUAAGACUGGGAUAACUUCGGGAAACCGUAGCUAAUACCGGAUAAUAUUUUGAACCGCAUGGUUCAAAAGUGAAAGACGGUCUUGCUGUCACUUAUAGAUGGAUCCGCGCUGCAUUAGCUAGUUGGUAAGGUAACGGCUUACCAAGGCAACGAUGCAUAGCCGACCUGAGAGGGUGAUCGGCCACACUGGAACUGAGACACGGUCCAGACUCCUACGGGAGGCAGCAGUAGGGAAUCUUCCGCAAUGGGCGAAAGCCUGACGGAGCAACGCCACGUGAGUGAUGAAGGUCUUCGGAUCGUAAAACUCUGUUAUUAGGGAAGAACAUAUGUGUAAGUAACUGUGCACAUCUUGACGGUACCUAAUCAGAAAGCCACGGCUAACUACGUG